RNAcentral lists this ribosomal RNA (547 nucleotides) under uncultured bacterium. RNAcentral describes it as "bacterial SSU rRNA". It matches the Rfam family "Bacterial small subunit ribosomal RNA", at positions 355 to 896 of the family's 1533-position model. The record is from RNAcentral.
UGGGGAAUAUUGCGCAAUGGGGAGAACCCUGACGCAGCCAUGCCGCGUGAAUGAAGAAGGCCUUCGGGUUGUAAAGUUCUUUCGGUAUUGAGGAAGGUUGAUGUGUUAAUAGCACAUCAAAUUGACGUUAAAUACAGAAGAAGCACCGGCUAACUCCGUGCCAGCAGCCGCGGUAAUACGGAGGGUGCGAGCGUUAAUCGGAAUAACUGGGCGUAAAGGGCACGCAGGCGGUUAUUUAAGUGAGGUGUGAAAGCCCCGGGCUUAACCUGGGAAUUGCAUUUCAGACUGGGUAACUAGAGUACUUUAGGGAGGGGUAGAAUUCCACGUGUAGCGGUGAAAUGCGUAGAGAUGUGGAGGAAUACCGAAGGCGAAGGCAGCCCCUUGGGAAUGUACUGACGCUCAUGUGCGAAAGCGUGGGGAGCAAACAGGAUUAGAUACCCUGGUAGUCCACGCUGUAAACGCUGUCGAUUUGGGGGUUGGGGUUUAACUCUGGCGCCCGUAGCUAACGUGAUAAAUCGACCGCCUGGGGAGUACGGCCGCAAGGUUA